Molecule: transfer RNA, 74 nt
Filed under: Alosa alosa (allis shad)
Lineage: Eukaryota; Metazoa; Chordata; Actinopteri; Clupeiformes; Clupeidae
Description: tRNA-OTHER
Source: RNAcentral
GCAGCCAUGGCCUACUGGUUAGGGCUUCGGGCUUGUAACCAUAGGGUUGCCGGUUCGAUCCCCGACCAGUAGGA